This 370-nucleotide ribosomal RNA is filed under the name uncultured bacterium. RNAcentral describes it as "bacterial SSU rRNA". It matches the Rfam family "Bacterial small subunit ribosomal RNA", at positions 525 to 896 of the family's 1533-position model. The record is from RNAcentral.
ACGUAGGUGGCAAGCGUUGUCCGGAAUUAUUGGGCGUAAAGGGUGCGUAGGUGGCUCUUUAAGUGGGAUGUGAAAGCCCUUGGCUUAACCAAGGAUGUGCAUUCCAAACUGGGGAGCUAGAGUGCAGGAGAGGAAAGUGGAAUUCCUAGUGUAGCGGUGAAAUGCGUAGAGAUUAGGAGGAACACCAGUGGCGAAGGCGACUUUCUGGACUGUAACUGACACUGAGGCACGAAAGCGUGGGGAGCAAACAGGAUUAGAUACCCUGGUAGUCCACGCCGUAAACGAUGAGCACUAGGUGUAGGGGAGACCAUCCUCUGUGCCGCAGUUAACACAUUAAGUGCUCCGCCUGGGAAGUACGAUCGCAAGAUUA